Molecule: long non-coding RNA, 1879 nt
Organism: Phyllostomus discolor (pale spear-nosed bat)
Lineage: Eukaryota; Metazoa; Chordata; Mammalia; Chiroptera; Phyllostomidae
Exons: 2
Source: RefSeq, a predicted model, not a curated record
CUGCCGGCUUAUAGCAAGAGAAAAUCGAGAUCACAUGACUAAUGUCAAGGUGGCCGCCAUCUUGGUACUACUGGUUGCCAACUGGUGAGUUGUUGGAAGGCAGAAGCCGGAACGUAGCGGCGGUUUCUGGUAACUGGUCUCUUGACCAGAAAAGAACCAGUAGAUGGUAUGUUGCUGGAAACGGAGGACCCCGAAUGGAGCUCCCCGGGAAGGAGCUUACUUUUCCUAUUCAAGUUAUUGGUAUUACCAUCCACCAGGUCUUCCAAACCAGAAAGCAGGAAGGAAUUCCUGAGCUGCCAGGCACGAAUCCUGUCAGUUCUUCCUUUAGAGGCAUAUUUUUUUCCAAGCCCUCUGCGCAUGCCCCAGUUGCAGCUUGUUCCUUGCCUUGCUUGGAUUGUUUGCUAGAGCCCCUUAAUGGGCCUCUCAGCAUACAACGUUGCCCCUUCAGUCCACACCACUCCCAGACUGAAUUUGCUGUCCAGGUAGUCUCAAAACUCCUUACCGUGGCUGAGAGACCUCAGUACUAGGCUACUUUGCAAAUGUUAUUUCCGCACUCCUCGUUCUACCGAGUGUACCUGUACCCAUCAUUGCCUCUUUACAUGCAGUCCCUCUUCAACAAGACGUCGCAAACUUCAGCAUCACCUCUCUUGAAAAGCGUUCUACUAGCCUCCCUUCCCCUUCCCCUUGGGCCUACUUCACUGUGCGCUUAAUCUUUUUGUGCUGCAUCUCCUAACUAGGUUGUGAGAGCUUGGAGGUAAGAGGCUGGGUCCUAUUUAUACUUGCAUCUCCACUGUUGGGCUAUGUGCCUAGACAUAGUUAAGUGUCCAAUAAUGUUUGCUGAGCGAAGGAGGCAUUGAUUGGGGACCUGGGUACCACCCUUCAGUGCUUUCCCAGCCCCCAGGCCCUCCUUCAGACCCCAGAGGAGUUUCUAUGGUCAGGUUCCCACUACACCGCUGGACUCAAAGAUACCAAUGACACCUACUCCUGGAAGGCAGGCUUGCCUUGUUUUAAUAGUGAUUCUAUGUAUUUAUUAAAAAGGAACGAACGGCGGUGCUAUGUCUGCAAGAGAGUGUUUGUAGCCAGACCAUGCUAUGCUUUGAGCCAGAUUAACACGAGUCCUACCAAAUGGUUAAACAACACCAACAGGAUGUUCAUGGGUGGAGCAGAGGGAUUUGGAAUAUAGGAGAUCCCUAUUUGCUAAUCCAAAAGCUUCUCAGUAAACCAUUCUUCCCCUCUCAUCCUCACUUUUUCUCACAGAUUCUUACUUCAGGAAGAGGAGAACUUGGUGCAGAGUCACAGCUGCUUAAAAUUUCACUGAAAAUUGCUUCAUCAGACAUCCUCAGCUUCAGUGGUCUGGGAGAGCUAAGUUGAGCACGGAAGACAAGCUCUAAAAGAUAGGAGGAGAGAGGGAGAGAAACAUCAUUUGCUUGCUUCUCCUACCCGCCCCGACGUGGGACAGAACUGCAACCCAUGCAUGUGCCCUGACUGGAAUGAAAUCAGCGACCUUGAACUUUGAGGAAAGCUGCCCAAUGAACUGAGCCACACUAGUCAGGGCAGUAAAAUCUUUUUACUGUAUUUAACAUAAUCAAGAUUUGGAUACUUUAUUGGGAUGUAGUUUAAUCUAAGCAAACCAAUUAAGGAAAAUGUGAUUUUUAAAAAAAUGCCUUGAAUCCUAAUUUUGUUGAGCACUUGGUUUUCUAACAUGUACUCUUUAAGCCUCCUUACUAUAUUAUCUCCAUGCAUUCUCACAACAACCCUAUGAAGUAUUUCUAAAACUAUAACCUUUUUUAGGGUUGAGGAAGGAGUGAAGUUAGUUGCCUAACAUGGGACUAAUUAGAAGUGAACAGGAAAUUCAAAGGCAAAUUUCUUUUUUUUUUAA